Molecule: small nucleolar RNA, 132 nt
Organism: Erinaceus europaeus (western European hedgehog)
Lineage: Eukaryota; Metazoa; Chordata; Mammalia; Eulipotyphla; Erinaceidae
Source: Ensembl
GUACAAACUCAACCAUUAAGUCUUCAUGAUGCUGCAGAAGUGAGGGGAAGGAACCUGGUUUGCUGGCAUCACUGAUGGAUGUGCACUAGCCUCAGAGGAUGCUGAGGUGGCCCGUGCUAUGCUUCCUCGUGC